AAAACGACUCUCGGCAACGGAUAUCUCGGCUCUCGCAUCGAUGAAGAACGUAGCGAAAUGCGAUACUUGGUGUGAAUUGCAGAAUCCCGUGAACCAUCGAGUCUUUGAACGCAAGUUGCGCCCUAAGCCUUCUGGCCGAGGGCACGUCUGCCUGGG
This 156-nucleotide ribosomal RNA is filed under the name Alyssum alyssoides. RNAcentral's name for it is "5.8S ribosomal RNA". It matches the Rfam family "5.8S ribosomal RNA". From Rfam's summary of the family: 5.8S ribosomal RNA (5.8S rRNA) is a component of the large subunit of the eukaryotic ribosome. It is transcribed by RNA polymerase I as part of the 45S precursor that also contains 18S and 28S rRNA. RNAcentral also lists the same sequence under 3 other names. The record is from RNAcentral. Lineage: Eukaryota; Viridiplantae; Streptophyta; Magnoliopsida; Brassicales; Brassicaceae.